Molecule: long non-coding RNA, 2091 nt
Organism: Carassius auratus (goldfish)
Lineage: Eukaryota; Metazoa; Chordata; Actinopteri; Cypriniformes; Cyprinidae
Exons: 3
Source: RefSeq, a predicted model, not a curated record
CUAAGGUCUCAAGCAUGGAAUGGCUACUUGACAACAGGACAUGGGAUUACAAAAACAUCUGUUCACUCCUGCCACACUGACGCUCACAACUGAACAUGAAGAAGCUUCUUUAGAGUGGCUUUUUGGACAAUUAACUAGUGUGUCAAGCAUUCUACUGAAGUGUCGGGUGUUACGUUAUUGACGCUCAAACACUAGAAACUUUGGUUUAUUUAUUUAUUUUCCCACAUCCAAAACCUGCGCAAUUCGUUUCCUUCUCUUCAAAGUGGUCUUGAUUUUCUCGCCGAUGUACACCUGAAGAUCCUUGGUCCCCCGAGGGCUCCAGCCAGGACUCCAGACUCCGUGUCUCUCACCAGCUCCUUUUAUGACUUCUGCCUUGUCUGCGAGGCUCUUGGUGUCUGGAUAAAAAAGAAAAAGAAAUAUUCAAACAAACAGGUUAACACCCAAAUAUGUAUACAUUUAGCCUCAGCGUACAAGGGAAAGGAAAAUGUAAACAUACGAGUAAUGUUCAGCCUGUCCAUUGGAGUCCUGUAAGUUUCUCCUGUCGUGUGUGCCUCAGUCUCAUGUAGGGCCUUAUUUUGGCAGAAAGUUCAGGUUCCAGAUCGUCUGGAGACUGGGCCAGCUUGCGCUUGUGCAUAGCGGGGGGCUGUCUCUGAAGUCCCGAGGAACCGGCCUGGGCGAGAGGUAAACUCUGAAGGUCCAGGGAGAUCUCAGUGUCGCGUCCCACAUCCAAAACCUGGGUGGAGGAAAGUGCUCCAUCUCGUUCUGGGUUCUGGUCAGAGCUGGAUUCAAAGGACGUUGUUGUGGUCAACACCGCAAGCUGACUCGGGCCGAUCUGAGAUGGAGAGGUUGCACUCUGAUGUCGGAGGCUUCCCGUGAAGGCAUCUGUGGUUGGUCCUCCUCAGCAGUUGGCCAGGGUGGAUUGACCACCAUUCCUGACUGUGGCUCUGGUAGUGGCAUAGGCUUCUCCGGCUUUCUCUUGACAAACCUGUUGGCAAACAUUGAAGGGAGAAAUUAAGGUAAGACGUCUGUAAUGGCCUGUCAUUAAAAUCAACCCCAUGAACCACUGACUAGAAUACUUGCUUUUCUCGUAGUCGUUUAACAUCUGUUGUUGGGUUACAAGGAGGAAGUCCUGAAGCUCCCAGGAAGAACCGGUCCCUGGCGUCUUCCUCCACUGGUUAAGAAUUUAAAUAUUCUGGCCUGAUGUGCUUGAAGUAGCACUCCAACCACUACAGCAGAUUUGUACAUAUUUUACAAGUGUUAGCUGUGACAAAGAUCGAUAAUGAACUAAUAGUUUGCUGUGUGUGUGUGUGUGUGUGUGUGUGUGUGUGUGUAGAGGAUCAUCUUACAUGUUCUUCUUUUCUGUUCAACUUUAUAAUUCCUUUGGAUAGCUUUACACGACUACAUCUCCAUUUGUCACCCUGUCGUUCCAUUGCUGGACCUGUGCAAACAUUCAGACAAGAAUGACAAGGACCCAGGUGAUGGACCCACAUCAUUGUGGUGAGACAGAAGCUCCGGAAGUCUGUCUUGGUCUUCGGAGGGACCCCUUUAUCUUGGCAGAGACGGUUGGACACCUCACCCAUUUCCUCCUCUGUGAGAGCCAGAAUUUCAGACUCCAGGAUGGCAGCGCUAGGAAACGAAGGGACCAUUACUAGGACAAACACACCCUUGUAUAGUCUAUUACGACCAUCAGAAGUGACAGUGACACUUUAAUUAUUUAUAUAGUAAUUGCAUGUACUAAAUCAAUAUUACUCAGUACUUCAAAGUACAAUUACACUGUGGAAAUGACAAUAAAAUGUAACCGAAAUGACUCUCAAUGCCUAGUUACCUCUCCAUGCACAGACCACCCUACCUGUCAUGCUCUUCUUUGAUGAGGAAUCCCUUUGCCUGAAAGUACUCUGCCAAGGAGUCACAAGAUGGGUCUUCCCUGACCAACUUCCUGACCUCAGAAAAAAUAAUAAUCCUCCCCUCUCUUGUCCACUUCUCUUGUGACUCCUUGGCCCUCGAAAUUUCUUCCUGGAUCCAUCCAUCCUCCGCCCCCAGUAAGCACAUAUUUUUUAGAUGUUGUUCAAUUUUGGUCUGGGGCUUAUGACA